GGGCGUGUGGCUCAGUUGGUAGAGCGUUCGCUUAGCAAGUUCCAAGAAGGUUUCUUCUGAACCUGAUUCCUUGCGAAAGGUCCUGGGUUCGAUUCCCAGCCCGUCCA
Molecule: non-coding RNA, 107 nt
Organism: Cercophora scortea
Lineage: Eukaryota; Fungi; Ascomycota; Sordariomycetes; Sordariales; Lasiosphaeriaceae
Source: the annotation of a GenBank genome assembly